GGCACUCACCAGCUGGGGCAGGUCCAGGAUGUGGCGCCACGCUCGCCUCGGCGCGGCGCACCAUUCGCGGCUCCUUGAAGGAAUGUCACCACACAAAAGUUGAUAUAGAUUUGUAUGUGGUGACGACUUUUUUCCAUCAACCGAAUCUUCCUCGGGUCGAAUACUACCCUACUCCCAGUACUACGCCGCACUACUACAAUGAAUAUGAACUUUAGGAGCUAUUUUCAGACAGCUUUACUGUACAACUGACUCACUUUACACUUUCAAGCACUGCACUGUACAAACAUAACUCGACGAACUUGAGAGACUCACGAAUGGAUCUAUAGGGCUGGGUGGACCCUGUCAACACACUGAAUACUGGACUAAUAAUUUUAUUUAUACACCAUAGUACCAAAAAAACUCUACUAGUACUACUAUAACAGAAACUGGACUACUAAUUGGAGUCGACCAGAGGACAACAAAGUAUGUGGGAGAUUAAAUUCUUGUCCAAGCAGACAGGUCACAAUUAGUUUCUUAUACCUGCCUUGGGGGACCUAUUACAUAAAGCAAGCAAAGUCUGCAAGAGUCUGAGCCGGUUCCACUCGUCCACCACUUUAUUAGCGAACAAAUUCCUGCCUGUCUUUGUUGAAUCUAAAGUCUAGAUGUGGGCUAUUUCGUUUUCAUUUAUUUGCCCUUCAGCUGCUUCCUCUACUGAAAAAAAUAAUUUCGCUAUAUA
This is a long non-coding RNA of Eriocheir sinensis (Chinese mitten crab), 715 nucleotides long. RefSeq lists it as uncharacterized. The record is from RefSeq and is a predicted model, not a curated record. NCBI's taxonomy places the organism in Eukaryota, Metazoa, Arthropoda, Malacostraca, Decapoda, Varunidae. The transcript has 2 exons.